This 609-nucleotide ribosomal RNA is filed under the name uncultured bacterium. RNAcentral describes it as "partial 16S ribosomal RNA". The record is from RNAcentral.
ACGGUUACCUUGUUACGACUUAGCCCCAGUCACCGGUUUUACCUUAGGGCGCUCCUUGCGGUUGCACACUUCAGGCACUCCCGGCUUCCAUGGCUUGACGGGCGGUGUGUACAAGGCCCGGGAACGUAUUCACCGCGCCGUGGCUGAUGCGCGAUUACUAGCGAAUCCAGCUUCAUGGAGUCGGGUUGCAGACUCCAAUCCGAACUGAGACAGGCUUUGAAGUUCCGCUCUGCGUCGCCGCAUCGCUUCUCUCUGUACCUGCCAUUGUAACACGUGUGUCGCCCCGGACGUAAGGGCCGUGCUGAUUUGACGUCAUCCCCGCCUUCCUCACAGCUUGCGCCGGCAGUCUCGCCAGAGUCCCCAACUUUACCUGCUGGUAACUGGCGAUGGGGGUUGCGCUCGUUAUGGCACUUAAGCCGACACCUCACGGCACGAGCUGACGACAACCAUGCAGCACCUCGACGGAUGUCCCGUAGGACUGCCUCCUUUCAGAGACAUCCAUCCGUCGUUUGAGCCCGGGUAAAGUUCCUCGCGUAUCAUCGAAUUAAACCACAUGUUCCUCCGCUUGUGCGGGCCCCCGUCAAUUCCUUUGAGUUUCACCGUUGCCGG